This 164-nucleotide ribosomal RNA is filed under the name uncultured bacterium. Its description in RNAcentral is "partial 16S rRNA". It matches the Rfam family "Bacterial small subunit ribosomal RNA", at positions 355 to 511 of the family's 1533-position model. The record is from RNAcentral.
UGGGGAAUCUUCCACAAUGGGCGAAAGCCUGAUGGAGCAACGCCGCGUGUGUGAUGAAGGGUUUCGGCUCGUAAAACACUGUUGUAAGAGAAGAAUGACAUUGAGAGUAACUGUUCAAUGUGUGACGGUAUCUUACCAGAAAGGAACGGCUAAAUACGCGCCAG